This 699-nucleotide ribosomal RNA is filed under the name uncultured bacterium. RNAcentral's name for it is "bacterial SSU rRNA". It matches the Rfam family "Bacterial small subunit ribosomal RNA", at positions 8 to 697 of the family's 1533-position model. The record is from RNAcentral.
AGAGUUUGAUCCUGGCUCAGAUUGAACGCUGGCGGCAUGCCUAACACAUGCAAGUCGAACGGAAACGAUGGGAGCUUGCUCCCAGGCGUCGAGUGGCGGACGGGUGAGUAAUGCUUAGGAAUCUACCCAGUAGCGGGGGACAACUCGAGGAAACUCGAGCUAAUACCGCAUACGCCCUACGGGGGAAAGCAGGGGAUCUUCGGACCUUGCACUAUUGGAUGAGCCUAAGUCGGAUUAGCUUGUUGGUGAGGUAAAGGCUCACCAAGGCGACGAUCCGUAGCUGGUCUGAGAGGACGAUCAGCCACACUGGGACUGAGACACGGCCCAGACUCCUACGGGAGGCAGCAGUGGGGAAUAUUGGACAAUGGGGGCAACCCUGAUCCAGCAAUGCCGCGUGUGUGAAGAAGGCCUGCGGGUUGUAAAGCACUUUCAGUAGAGAAGAAAAGCCUACGGUUAAUACCCGUGGGUCUUGACGUAACCUACAGAAGAAGCACCGGCUAACUCCGUGCCAGCAGCCGCGGUAAUACGGAGGGUGCGAACGUUAAUCGGAAUUACUGGGCGUAAAGCGCGCGUAGGCGGCUUUGUAAGUCGGAUGUGAAAGCCCCGGGCUUAACCUGGGAAUGGCAUUCGAUACUGCAUAACUAGAGUAUGGUAGAGGGAAGUGGGAUUUUCCGGUGUAGCGGUGAAAUGCGUAGAUAU